AGUAGAGGUGAGGUUUCACUAUGUUGGCCAGGCUGGUCUCAAACUCCUGACCUCAGGUGAUCCACCCACC
Molecule: microRNA precursor, 70 nt
Organism: Colobus angolensis palliatus
Lineage: Eukaryota; Metazoa; Chordata; Mammalia; Primates; Cercopithecidae
Source: Ensembl